UACAGAGAGUGCGAGCGUUAAUCGGAAUUACUGGGCGUAAAGCGCACGUAGGUGGAUGUUUAAGUCGGAUGUGAAAUCCCUGGGCUUAACCUAGGAAUUGCAUUCGAUACUGGGCGUCUUGAAUAUGGUAGAGGGAAGUGGAAUUUCUGGUGUAGCGGUGAAAUGCGUAGAUAUCAGAAGGAACAUCAGUGGCGAAAGCGGCUUCCUGGACCAAUAUUGACACUUAGGUGCGAAAGCGUGGGGAGCAAAC
Molecule: ribosomal RNA, 250 nt
Filed under: uncultured bacterium
Lineage: Bacteria
Description: partial 16S ribosomal RNA
Rfam family: Bacterial small subunit ribosomal RNA
Source: RNAcentral